ACAAGUACCGGACAGCACCUGCGGUCUCAGCGUUCUGGGGACAUUAGAGCUGCCGCUGCCAAGUGGCUAAGAAUAGGAGUGCCGCCAUCCAGCUGCCCCUAGUCUGCUCACGCUGACCUUGGGCAAAUAACCUUUGCCCUCUGGGCCUCAGGCUCCUCAGAUGUCAGGUGUGAACACGGAAAGCUUAAUUGAGUGGGUUUCCUAAGGCUCAAAUGCAGCAGUGUGUCAAAGCUCCCACGGCGUGUGAAAGCUGGUCUUUAGUUACAGCGCGUCCCCAGUGCUUGUUAACAGUGGCCGACUACCCCCAAGGCACGUCACAAUAGUUCUGAGGUCCAGGAUGGCAUGGGCACACGGAAUCCACUCCUCUCUCUGUAAGGCCCGGGCACUGCAGAGGGUGGGGAGAGGGGCUGUGGGCAUCCACCCAGGUCCACCUCACCGUGCUGUGCGCACAGCUCCUAACCAGGUUAGCAUGUGGCCCCAGGAAGGCUCAGCAUGGGUUCCUGGGAGGCCAAACCCCCCCAACCUGGAUGUUCACUGGCUGGACAGGGACUUCUGUGCUGGAAGCUGCUGUUUCUACAUAUGUUAAACACUGAAGCAUUUGGGGUGGGGGAGCAAUAAGAACAGUUACGUUGCCAAUAAGCAUGCAGAUCACACUGUGUAGGACAGUGUGCACAGAGUCAGGACAGUGAGUAUUGCCGCCUCUGUCUCCAGCAGUGUCCUGACUGACAGAGGGCGAGGCUGGGCAACUACCUGCUGUGGUCAGAGUGGCCACCCAAGCAGUACCUGACCUUCUUUUCCAGCAAUUUGCACACAUACGUUGUGUGUGUGUGUCUGCACGUGUGUGUGUAAGUAGGUAGGUAGGUAGGUAGGUGGAUAUUUUGCUAUCAGUCAUUGGUUCCCUGUAGGCCAAGCUGCCUCCAAAGAUGUAGACAAGUUGUGGUUGAGAGAUGGCGUGUUUCAUUUUCAGCAUCACACCCCACUCCUGGCCCUGGAGCGUGAGGUCAGUUUGAUGAAGGUGCCUGAAGUUGCUUAGGUGCUGCCAGACUGAGUUCCGUUCGCCCAGCAGAAUGGACCCUGCACAUCCAGAUGGUGGGAGAACGUUGGCUGCUGUGGCCUUGGCCCAGAGAGCACCUCAGCCACUUAAUGGUGUCCCCCGUGGCUGGGCUGGCAAUACUGGGGCACAAUGGGGAGAACACUUCUGAACUGUACCUUGUUACAUCGACAGUUGAAGGUCGUUUGUCAAGUUAAAUGAGAUCCCGCACAAGGAACAGAAAAAUCUUGAAACAUGCUUUCAGGCUGACAGAUGCUCACUAAAGGUACCCUGAGAGGGAAGGCAGGGCUCGGGCUGUGUACCUCAGCACGGGGUGUAACAGCGACGUGCUUGUCCAAGCUAGGCCUUCCUUUUCCUCCGUCCUGUGGCUGUGGGGCAUCCGAAGUCGCUUGCUCCUGCUCAUCCUUCUGAGCCUAGGCAGAAUGAGGGCAGCCUGGAGCCCAGCUGGCCCUGUGCUCACUAACCCCUCCAGCCUCUCCUGGCUUUGGUGUUAUUCUGCUGUGGUAAAAGUUAUUUUGCCAAAACUAUUGGGAAACCUGCCACGUGGAGAGACACCUGUGCGUGCUGAGGACUCCACCGAGGCAGCAUUGUGUGUGCUGCUCCCUGUCAUGCCUGGAGGUCACCAGCUGCCAACCGAUUAGCUCUGUACUCCUCAGCAGCCCCGCCUGGGGGCUCUUACCUUAGCUGCCUUACUGGCCCUCUAAAUAACCCGUCUAAAUACCCUCUAAAUGCCAUGUGGCCAUAGAUGAAGUCCGGUUGUGUGAACAGUGACCACAGUGGCAGCAGCACAGGAGUUGAUUGACAGUGAUUGACACGGCUGAUUCCUGGAGAGAUAAACAGAAAGUGGAGACCUGGGUGGCCUCUGAAGCUUGGAGCACAGCAGAUGGGCAAACCUGACUGGGAGGAGACAGAGCAAAGGGGCAGGCAUGCCCUGAGGUCUGCUCCAGGAGCAUCCGUUCCUCAACACUGUGCCUUCCUAAGCACAGACCAGCCCACCCUAGCAUCUAGUGUAAGUAUCCAGUACGGCAUCUCUACCCCCCACCCCAAACUGUGGGGUGUACCUGGACGCAGUCCCUUCCACAAGCUUGUACAAGGAGGGAGCUGCUGGGUGGAGCCAUGGGCCACACAGCUUGGCCAGACAGGAAGGACAGUGCUCAACAGGUCAGCCCCCUUCCUGGAACCCUCCUCCUUCUCUCACUGUUUGGCCUCUGUGCACCUUGGUGUCUCCAUGUGUGCGGCGCUAGUGCUUUUGUAGGCGGGUGGGGUGCUCGGGACCCACCUGAGUAGAGGGAGAUGUAUUCAGAGGGGGUUAGGUCAUGUUAGGAAUUCCAUGAAACAAGUAAUCACGUCUUUAGCCUGUCUCCUAAAAUGCCUCCCCCUGGGGAGCGAGACUUCCCCACACGCCUACCCUCCUGCUGUCUGGGCCUGC
Meriones unguiculatus (Mongolian gerbil) is the source of this 2480-nucleotide long non-coding RNA. RefSeq lists it as uncharacterized. The transcript is spliced from 3 exons. NCBI's taxonomy places the organism in Eukaryota, Metazoa, Chordata, Mammalia, Rodentia, Muridae. The record is from RefSeq and is a predicted model, not a curated record.